CCUACGGGAGGCAGCAGUGAGGAAUAUUGGUCAAUGGGCGGAAGCCUGAACCAGCCAAGCCGCGUGCGGGAUGAAGGCCCUACGGGUCGUAAACCGCUUUUGCACGGGGAUAAAACCCUGCACUUGUGGACGUCUGCAGGUACCGUGCGAAUAAGGGCCGGCUAAGUCCGUGCCAGCAGCCGCGGUAAUACGGAGGGGCCGCGCGUUAUCCGGAUUUAUUGGGUUUAAGGGGAGCGAAGGGGGGCGGUAACGUCAGCGGUAAAAUCCCGGGGCGCAACCGCGCCCCGCAGUUGAAACUGGGCGCCUUGAGUUCACAACAGGCAGGCGGAAUGCGUGGUGUAGCGGUGAAAUGCAUAGAUAUCACGAGGAACCCCGAUUGCGAAGGCAGCCUGCCGGGGUGCGACUGACGCUGAGGCACGAAAGCGCGGGUAUCAAACAGGAUUAGAUACCCCUGUAGUC
This 459-nucleotide ribosomal RNA is filed under the name uncultured bacterium. RNAcentral's name for it is "partial 16S ribosomal RNA". It matches the Rfam family "Bacterial small subunit ribosomal RNA", at positions 338 to 795 of the family's 1533-position model. The record is from RNAcentral.